GAAAUGCGAUAAGUAAUGUGAAUUGCAGAAUUCAGUGAAUCAUCGAAUCUCUUUCUCGCUGAGCUUUUAGCUAAAGGCUGGGUUAGCCCUUAAACCCCCCAACUCCUCAGGAACUUUUUGGUUCUUGUGAACUUGAGCUCAAAUCAGGUAGGAUUACCCGCUGAACUUAA
Molecule: unclassified non-coding RNA, 170 nt
Filed under: uncultured fungus
Lineage: Eukaryota; Fungi
Description: sequence contains ITS1
Source: RNAcentral